CAGUCGCCACGGUAAUACGAGGGGGGCAAGCGUUGUUCGGAAUUAUUGGGCGUAAAGGGCGCGUAGGCGGUUUGACAAGUCUGAUGUGAAAUCUCUGGGCUCAACCCAGAGUCUGCAUCGGAAACUGUCGAGCUUGAGUAUGGGAGAGGUGAGUGGAAUUUCCGGUGUAGCGGUGAAAUGCGUAGAUAUCGGAAGGAACACCUGUGGCGAAAGCGGCUCACUGGACCAUUACUGACGCUGAGGCGCGAAAGCUAGGGGAGCAAACAGGAUUAGAUACCCCCGUAGUCCCUGUCUCUUAUAC
Molecule: ribosomal RNA, 301 nt
Filed under: uncultured bacterium
Lineage: Bacteria
Description: partial 16S ribosomal RNA
Rfam family: Bacterial small subunit ribosomal RNA
Source: RNAcentral